UGUACCGCCUCUGCGUCGCCACGCACCUCAGCCUCAGAUAUUUGGACUUGCAAAUCACGUAGACGGUCUGUUCGCAUCUUUUGCAACACUAUUGUAUUGCUGACCAUGUUGAAAGAUUCCUGAUAAUUUAGAAAAUCAUGAGGAGACGACAUUUCAAGGGGUUCGCUGAAACCAUUCUUUAACGGAACACUCCGGAAUCCCCGACGAAUGCAGGAAAGCUAUAAAAUUAACUACCGAUGGACAGACAGAUUAUGGCUUACGAGAUAGCCUUCACCCAUUCGAGGGCUUCUUCUCUGGAUUCAACACCCAGUUCCAGUAUCUCCGAUUUGGAUGUUAGUUUCACGCGAAGUAGCCACUCGGGUGCGCCAUUUUUGCUAACGACGUUUUCACCUUGAGUGCUACUAACGGAAAUGGUUGAUUGUGCCCUUACCAAUGACGGCUGCAAUUUCAAGAACUCCACUUCAGCACAGGACACGUCGAAACUCUCUUUACUCUGCAAGCCUUGUGCUAUUCCGUCUGCAGACUGGAUUAGCGGAGACAGGUUGGCAAUAAAGAGGUAUUGCAAUCGUCCUCCAUAGUCGCCACGCCACCAAAUCGAGUCGACUUUCUUCACAUUUUUUAUGAUGGCAUUUUUAGGAAAACUUAGUUCGUCGUCCUCGUGGCUCUGAUAACUCUUCAGAGCUCUCACUGAUAUCUUUGCCCAAAAGAAGGAAAUUAGUAGUCAAAUCCGCGAACAUGUGAUAGAAGAAUAAUUACGCCCAUGGGUCCCAUCAACGCCUCCGUUACGAUGUAACUAGGCUGCUCCGCUGCAAUAGAUUCAUCUUUUUCUUUAGGAUUCUGUUUAAAGCCAUUCAGGAAAAUCUGCAGUUAUUUUCUGUUCGUCAAUAGAAAAGAGAGAAUUUGG
Long non-coding RNA from Daphnia magna, 904 nucleotides. RefSeq lists it as uncharacterized. The transcript has 4 exons. Lineage: Eukaryota; Metazoa; Arthropoda; Branchiopoda; Diplostraca; Daphniidae. The record is from RefSeq and is a predicted model, not a curated record.